CAACAAUCCUGCAAAAAAAGCCAGUCCCUUAAGAAACAUCAAGAUUGACAGUUGUCAUCAGAGAAAUGAUGAGGACCAGGAUCUUCAGGGUACCAUCUGGUGCUGUGUUUGAAGAAAAUGAGAAUGAGAGAUAUUUCCUCAAUAGAUGAAACUAUUGGCCCCAGCUCCAAAUUCACACUUGUUGCAGCAGUUAAUUCUGCAAAAUCACAGAAGGAA
RNAcentral lists this long non-coding RNA (216 nucleotides) under Homo sapiens (human). Its description in RNAcentral is "non-protein coding lnc-EPHA4-2:2". The record is from RNAcentral. Lineage: Eukaryota; Metazoa; Chordata; Mammalia; Primates; Hominidae.